Molecule: ribosomal RNA, 502 nt
Filed under: uncultured bacterium
Lineage: Bacteria
Description: partial 16S ribosomal RNA
Rfam family: Bacterial small subunit ribosomal RNA
Source: RNAcentral
GACGAACGCUGGCGGCGUGCUUAACACAUGCAAGUCGAACGGUGAAGGGGUCUGCUUUUGUGGGCCCUGGAUGAGUGGCGAACGGGUGAGUAACACGUGAGUAACCUGCCCCCUUCUUCUGGAUAACCGCAUGAAAGUGUGGCUAAUACGGGAUAUUCUGGGUCUGUCGCAUGAUGGGUCUGGGAAAGCUUGCGCCUUUGGGUGUUUUUGGUGGGGGAUGGGCUCGCGGCCUAUCAGCUUGUUGGUGGGGUGAUGGCCUACCAAGGCGGUGACGGGUAGCCGGCCUGAGAGGGUGGACGGUCACACUGGGACUGAGACACGGCCCAGACUCCUACGGGAGGCAGCAGUGGGGAAUAUUGCACAAUGGGCGCAAGCCUGAUGCAGCGACGCCGCGUGAGGGAUGGAGGCCUUCGGGUUGUAAACCUCUUUCGCCAGUGAAGCAGGCCUGCUCCUUGUGGGUGGGUUGACGGUAGCUGGAUAAGAAGCGCCGGCUAACUACGUG